CAUGGGAGCUGCCCAGGACACCAAUGGACACGUGGACAAGGGGGCAGCUAUUGGGAAAGUUCUUUUCCAGGUGCCUGGGAAGGUGUGUGUGGUACAAGAGUUUCAUAUCUGUCAUUGAAUCUGCCCAAAGAGCUGAACAAAGGGCAUUGUUCUCUGCGUGUGCCAUGAUGCGAACAACGUCGAGUAAGCACAGAGCCGCAUCCCACUCCGGGAAAGGUCCGAAUCUCAGUGGUGUCAAGAUGAGAAAUGGAGCUGUGACCCUCAGUGAGGUGCCCUGGUCGUGUCAGAGGCCAGUGUCAAUCAGAAAUUUGAGAACUGCUGUGUAACUUCUCAGUGGGACACAACGGCUUCCUAAAAUAUACAACAGUAAUAUUAACAUGUUA
This is a long non-coding RNA of Hyaena hyaena (striped hyena), 383 nucleotides long. RefSeq lists it as uncharacterized. The transcript is spliced from 2 exons. NCBI's taxonomy places the organism in Eukaryota, Metazoa, Chordata, Mammalia, Carnivora, Hyaenidae. The record is from RefSeq and is a predicted model, not a curated record.